Molecule: ribosomal RNA, 243 nt
Filed under: uncultured bacterium
Lineage: Bacteria
Description: partial 16S ribosomal RNA
Rfam family: Bacterial small subunit ribosomal RNA
Source: RNAcentral
UACGGUAGGGUGCAAGCGUUGUCCGGUAAUUAUUGGGCGUAAAGAGCUCGUAGGCGGUCUGUUGCGAUCGGCGUCGUGAAAACCCCGGGGCUCAACCCGGGCCUGCAGCCGAUACGGGCAGGACUAGAGUUCGGCAGGGGAGACUGGAAAUUCCUGGUGUAGCGGUGAAAUGCGUAGAUAUCGAGAGGAACACCUGCGGCGAAGGCGGGUUGCUGGGCCGACACUGACGCUGGAUGCGGACGA